AUGGACUGAAUGAUCUUC
RNAcentral lists this microRNA (18 nucleotides) under Callorhinchus milii (elephant shark). Its description in RNAcentral is "eshark_mir-1269_1". The record is from RNAcentral. Lineage: Eukaryota; Metazoa; Chordata; Chondrichthyes; Chimaeriformes; Callorhinchidae.